CCAGGGUUACGGGAAAGAGGGCA
RNAcentral lists this non-coding RNA (23 nucleotides) under Mus musculus (house mouse). The record is from RNAcentral. Lineage: Eukaryota; Metazoa; Chordata; Mammalia; Rodentia; Muridae.